UGGCUGUGAAAUUGAGUUCCCCCUAUCUUCCUAGAAUGGACUUGAUCCACCAAACGCCUUUGGUGUCCUUGGGUCCUUCUUCUUCCGGUGGACUGUCGCUAUGUGGAGUCUUGUGGAACUUGCUCACGUCAUACCCUUCUUCUUCAGCCUUGAACCAGCUGAUUGUAAAUUUCUUUGUCCAUACGGCUGUCUGCUUAGUAUCUGCAAAACAAAAAAGCCCACCAAUCAGCCAAUGAAAAUACAAAAAGAAAGAAACAAGAAUCAGAGCCCAACUCAUGAACUAAGGAUGUAACUCUCUUGGAUCAUUCGGUAGUUGAAUAUUCUCCUUGAUCCUCGCUAUGUCUUGACAUGUCAACUAACAAAUCUUAAAUCAUAAGAUAAGCCCCACCUCAAUAUUUGGGCGAACAACACAAACAAGCUCCCCACAAACUUGUAAUGCUUCUGAUGUGACUUUGUAAUAUCUCUCACAAAUAGUAGAUAAAACAGGGGAGGAAAGCACCUAAAACAUCAUAAUAAAAACAGAGAAAGUAAACACCCUGCAGCUGAUUUCGUAUAAACCCAACUCAGAAGCAGGUAGCAUAAACAGUUUAUAUACACAACAAAGGUAGGAAUUAUACCGUUGAACAAAAGAUAAGAGAAAACUGUCGAACAAUUACAAACUUUCCAAUAUAGAACCUAAUUCACCAGCCCUCACAAUGUAAAGGCUCGAUGGCGCCCAAAACUCCCGCUUGAAUUGCAUCACAAAAACCAUUCAAGGGGAAAGGCUCAUCUAGCCUCUCCGCAAGGGCCAAAAGGUGAAAAAGGUCUUAACAAUCUAAUCAUGCCAAAAAGGAAGAAACACACCUCAAGAAGCACAGACCACGACUUCAGGAAACCAUCGUACAUGGAAUCACCCAUAGCAACCUAACAAGCCUUUGGCCACAGCUAUAACGGUUCGAAAAGGUCGAACGAAUAACUCAUUGCGAACCACGGAAGUAGGAGCCAUUGCCCCUCGGACGGCUGUAGUCAUUAUCCAGGUUGCUUCCCCUGCCCAAACUCUGACCACUCAGGCGUCCCCUUAGGCCCUCGGAUUGGUAUCCGCCUCUGCCUCUUCCUCGUCCUGGCAUUCAUUCAAAGAAAGUGUCAAAUGCAGAAGUAACGAUGAUUUAUAAGCAAAAUCCUAUCUUCAUGUUCUCCAAAAAGAUACUCGUCAAACAUAAUCAAGAUUUUAGCUGUUCCAAAUUUACAAGCACUUGCAGAGAAAUGUCACUCAAACCCCAAACAUCACUUUAACAGUUUAAUUGUGACAUCACCAAUAUCUCUAUUUCUAUCUCCAAAUGAACAGGAACUUAUAUUGCGAACCAAUUUUAUUGCACAUACCCACUCACCUGUAAACUAUAGUUACCUCAUAAAAUCUAUACUCUCACUCUGAAACACACAAACCCUACAAAUAGUCUGAGAGACCAAGCCUGCACACAGAUGGUGAAGAUGCUGCAAAAGACUCAUCUCUAAGCAAAACCUCUAGGAUAACAUAAAAAUCAUGAACAUUAAAAAGCCGAAUACACCAAGCAAUGCAGACACUUUCAUAACAAGACCAGGGAAUCAAGUAAUAAUUUUUCUAUUUCAC
Molecule: long non-coding RNA, 1606 nt
Filed under: Eucalyptus grandis
Lineage: Eukaryota; Viridiplantae; Streptophyta; Magnoliopsida; Myrtales; Myrtaceae
Description: long non-coding RNA (EGRA_LNC002799)
Source: RNAcentral